GACGAACGCUGGCGGCGUGCCUAAUACAUGCAAGUUGAGCGCUGAAGGUUGGUACUUGUACCGACUGGAUGAGCAGCGAACGGGUGAGUAACGCGUGGGGAAUCUGCCUUUGAGCGGGGGACAACAUUUGGAAACGAAUGCUAAUACCGCAUAAAAACUUUAAACACAAGUUUUAAGUUUGAAAGAUGCAAUUGCAUCACUCAAAGAUGAUCCCGCGUUGUAUUAGCUAGUUGGUGAGGUAAAGGCUCACCAAGGCGAUGAUACAUAGCCGACCUGAGAGGGUGAUCGGCCACAUUGGGACUGAGACACGGCCCAAACUCCUACGGGAGGCAGCAGUAGGGAAUCUUCGGCAAUGGACGAAAGUCUAACCGAGCAACGCCGCGUGAGUGAAGAAGGUUUUCGGAUCGUAAAACUCUGUUGGUAGAGAAGAACGUUGGUGAGAGUGGAAAGCUCAUCAAGUGACGGUAACUACCCAGAAAGGGACGGCUAACUACGUG
Molecule: ribosomal RNA, 497 nt
Filed under: uncultured bacterium
Lineage: Bacteria
Description: partial 16S ribosomal RNA
Rfam family: Bacterial small subunit ribosomal RNA
Source: RNAcentral